UGUUAGCUGUGAUGAAGUUUCAACAAAUUCUUCUGAAGAGAAGACGCCAAAAUUAGAAUCGGACAAAUCUGCACUUUGUCAAAAGUUGCCAGAAAUUGAGAAAAGAAAAGAGGUUAGGGAAGAGACAGAGGAGGAGGAGAGGAGGAGGAGAGUUUAUGAAUAUACUUCUGGUGAAGAUGAUGAUUACGUCCGGCCAGACGGUACACGGAGGAGGACUCGAGAAGAGUGGGCUUUAUACUACAAACAAAUUAAGGAGAGCGAGGGAUUUGAUGUUGAUCCAUUUCCGGGCACGUUUGAAUUUGGUCUUACGGCGCUAACAAAUUUCGAAGACGAAGGUCUCAUCAAAUGUGCAAAACAAGCAAUCGAGCACUUUAACAAGGAAAAUAAUACCAGCUAUGAGUUUGUGAAGAUAGAGAAGACAACUUGCAUCGUUGCAGCAGGAUAUUGGUAUAAUAUCACUUUUCUAGCCAAUAAUUAUAAGGUUGAUGAUGUUGAAGCUAGAACUCAAACUUUUCAAGCUAAAGUCUGGUAUGGACUACGCGGUGAUAUUAGUGUUUCCCUUUGCCGGCUUAAACCAGCUCCAAGUUAGUCCAAGUUAUAUUUUGAUUUAUUUAUUACUAUUUUGAUUUAGAAGUGGGUGUAUUUAGUACUUGUCCUAGGUACAUAAUAUUUCAUCCGUACUGAUUAAGAAUUGUUAAACAACUUUUUUUUAGCUA
Molecule: long non-coding RNA, 716 nt
Organism: Ananas comosus (pineapple)
Lineage: Eukaryota; Viridiplantae; Streptophyta; Magnoliopsida; Poales; Bromeliaceae
Exons: 3
Source: RefSeq, a predicted model, not a curated record